UGGGGAAUUUUGGACAAUGGGCGAAAGCCUGAUCCAGCAAUGCCGCGUGUGUGAAGAAGGCCUUCGGGUUGUAAAGCACUUUUGUCCGGAAAGAAAUCCUUGGCUCUAAUACAGUCGGGGGAUGACGGUACCGGAAGAAUAAGCACCGGCUAACUACGUGCCAGCAGCCGCGGUAAUACGUAGGGUGCAAGCGUUAAUCGGAAUUACUGGGCGUAAAGCGUGCGCAGGCGGUUUGCUAAGACCGAUGUGAAAUCCCCGGGCUCAACCUGGGAACUGCAUUGGUGACUGGCAGGCUAGAGUAUGGCAGAGGGGGGUAGAAUUCCACGUGUAGCAGUGAAAUGCGUAGAGAUGUGGAGGAAUACCGAUGGCGAAGGCAGCCCCCUGGGCCAAUACUGACGCUCAUGCACGAAAGCGUGGGGAGCAAAACAGGAUUAGAUACCCUGGUAGUCCACGCCCUAAAACGAUGUCAACUAGUUGUUGGGGAUUCAUUUCCUUAGUAACGUAGCUAACGCGUGAAGUUGACCGCCUGGGGAGUACGGUCGCAAGAUUAAAACUCAAAUGAAUUGACGGGGUCAUAGCUGUUUUCU
RNAcentral lists this ribosomal RNA (587 nucleotides) under uncultured bacterium. Its description in RNAcentral is "partial 16S ribosomal RNA". It matches the Rfam family "Bacterial small subunit ribosomal RNA", at positions 355 to 938 of the family's 1533-position model. The record is from RNAcentral.